RNAcentral lists this small RNA (744 nucleotides) under Arabidopsis thaliana (thale cress). Its description in RNAcentral is "ATSL088560". The record is from RNAcentral. Lineage: Eukaryota; Viridiplantae; Streptophyta; Magnoliopsida; Brassicales; Brassicaceae.
AUCAGGAUUCAAACAAGUAAAAAUGAGAACUUAACAGCUCUACUCGAUCAAUAGGUCGAGUAGAACCAACAGGUGACAAAAUUAAGAACUAAAAUGCAAUCAACAGGGGAUGCAAAUAAAGGAUACAAAUAACAGGUAAAUAAAAGUGCAAUCAACAGGGGAUACAAAUAAACCUAAUAGAAGUUCUAAGGAUGAAUUCAUUGAUAAGGGUAACUCUAGGGUUCAUCAAAUGGCUAAUAGGCGAAAGGUAGAUACCCAUGACGAUAGAUUCAAAAACUGGGUCAAUCCACUCUCGUGACAGAGACCCCCAUAACUCUACCACUUCCUAAUCUCAACUCUCGUUGAUGAAACAUAGCAGAGCAGGGUUUAAGAAACAAUCUACCAAAGCCAAUAGGCAGACAAGUCAAUCCCUUGGUCGAGUCUACAGAUCUCUGGAAUUCGUAGGCAGACAUCCAUUUGAACGUCUUUUGGACGCUGGACGUCUAUGAUCGAAUCUCCACAUUAGCCACCGAAAACCGCAUAGGGGCCAAGCGAAUCCAGAAGGGAAUAAACCUAAACACUAACCACCUAACUAACCUAGAGAUUACCCUAAUCUAAUCCAUCCUCAAGAACCCUAAUCACUACUCAUGCAACAUUCUCAAGAACACAAAUCCAUAAAUUACUAAAAUCAUACCAAAAUGUAGAUCUAAACAAGCUAAACAACUUUACUUAAACAAUCAAAUGCAAAAACGAAAUAGAUUAAGA